UUUGUUAAAAUUCUGAAUUUAUCCACUCUCUCAAAUCCAGUGAGCAUUUUUAUGACCAUUACUUCAAACUCUAUCAGGUAGAUUGCUUAUCUUUGUUUUACUUAGUUCUUUUUCUAAUGUUUUGUCUUAUUCAUUCAUUUGGAGCAUAUAUUUCUGUAUCUUUAGUUUUGAUAUUUUGUUUCUAUGAAUCAGGCUCAAUAGCUAUCUCUUACAGAUUCGAAGAAGUGUCCUUGUGUAAGAACAUUCCCUCAGUUCGCUGUGCCUUGUGGCAUUGGCUGGCUGGCAGGAGCUCUAGCAGGUAUGGCUGGAGGUCUCAGGGCACUCUACACUGAGGCCUCCCUGGUAAGACAACUGUACAGGAAGACAGCAAAGUCAGGGGGUCCCACGGUACUCCAUGUAGGGGGUACCCUGGCAGGAUGACUGGAGCUGACAUGGGCUGGGGGGUGCCCAAGGUGUCCAUGUGGGGGCACAGUGGUGGGAUGGCUGGAGCUGAAGAGGACAUGACCAGGUAGUCCUGGGGUGCUUUGUGCCAUGGUCACUUGCAGGGUAGCUGGAGCAGAAGUGGGUGUGGGUGUUGAUGCUCUAGGGUUAAUGACUGAGUUUCCUUCAUUUGUAGUCUAGUUGCUUUUUAAACCAUCGCUUGUUUUCUGUGGCUCAGAAAACAGUGCUAUUAGUGCUAUCCCGUCCACUGCAGUUCAAAAUGUCAGACCUGCCGAGCAGGUCUUCAUGACCUGCCCCAAUAAGCCUCAUCUCAUAGACAGGUAAAAAGCCAUGGGAUGAGAUAAUUCAGAAAUGGACAGAAAUGUAAAGCUUUAGUGAGGACCUUAUUUUCCUAAAAAUAAAGAAUGGAAUUGCUCCAGUUUAAUUCAGUAUUAAAGAUUCACAGAACAGUCAGGAUCUGUCCCAUUCAGUGAAUAAUGGGCAUGAGGUAAAUCUUGGGCAUCUCAGUAUUUGGGAAGGGGCAUAUUUAAUUAUUCUCCUCUGCUUUUCACGUGGAGGGUUUGGCCUGAUGAGACAUGUUAAGAGGGACCUCACAGUAAACACCUCCCACACUUCAGCCAAGUAGAGAAAGGAGUAAAGUGGGAUUCAUCAUCUAGGCAUGACUAGGGCAGAGCCCAACUCCUGACUUUAUGAUUAGAAUCAGUAUGUGGUAUAUGGGAUUAUCUGGAAUCAAGCCAGUCACCAUGCUGGACAUCUCCUUUCAGACAACUGUAAAUCCUUGGACACACACAUCUAGACCAGUGCUUCCAUGAGGUGAUGGUGUCUGCAGAGGUGAAGGGGCACUGGAUCAGCCAUGCUCUCCUUCCUCCUGGAUCAAUGAUAGGCAACCCGGGGCAUCUGGUAUCUGAGGCUGAAUUCUGUGGGGAAGACUAACAGCAUCUGUAGCCUGUGGAGGAGACUGGGCCUGAAGAUUCUCUUUUGUUGUUAUUUUUUAUUAGCUAGCAUGCACCCUCUCAGGCCUGUAUUGAGCCUACCUCUUCUCAGGUCAGUCCCUUUAGGCCUUACCUGUGUAUCAUUACCUAGAUUGUAUCUGUGCCAUUUCUCUAUUCCCUUGUUUGUCUUCUUGGUCCCUAUGGACCCUACACAUAACAAACAACUUGUCCAAAGAAUGAGAUUGUCUCUCUUCUGUCCUACCAUUUCAUACAAGUCUUCUCGACCCUUUGGACAUUCCCCUCAAUGGCCAGGACAGUAGAAUUUCCAUGCUUUUUACCUGAAGUGGCGGGAAAUCGGAAUCUUCAAUCUUAUCAGUCUUCUCUCAAAAUCUUAGGUGUCUUCUCUCAGAAUUACACAGUUUUUAUUACCACCUCAGGCUGGUUCUGGCCAACACUGAUUCCUGGCCCUGGUUCAGUUAACUGACAAGCUCUUCCUGCCCUGUAACAGACAUGAGGAAGAGCCCUAAGGCUGUGAAUGAAGCUAAGCAUGGAAGCCAAGACCUGCAUUACGGAGUAGUGGCAGAGUUCAGGCUAACACAAGACAUCACAAGUCACCAAGGCCAUGGCACAGAAUGUGGAGUUUUUCUGUGAUGCUGAAGAUCCAGAGAUCUGCGGGUCUUUUUCCAUUAGUACUAGGAAAGGAGGUGAGGAGAUAUCCAGGAUUCAUCAGAUAUAAUUCCUUCUGAAUCUGGAGCAGAAUCCUAAUUUGGGGAAGGAGAGGUGUCUGAAUUAGAGAUGCUAAUUAUGAGCUGGGGGAGGCUGGAGCAGAGUGUACUGCAAUGGCCAUUGUCUGGAGUGCAGGGCUCAGCUUUUUACUCCAUCUAGGCCAGUCUGGGCUAUGAGUUUCAAGAGGAAAACAGCUCCAGAGAUUCUAACGUUUGGGCUACAUUGGCUCGACUCCUCACCUUCUACAUUGAAAUUCUUACAUGAAGAGUGAUUCAGCCUGAAUGCAGAAUGUCAGGCUGCUGGAGGCACAGAACAUGUAAGCAAAGAUUGGCAAGACCUAUGUGCAAGAGUACUGUCCUGCACAGAGGCAUCGCCAUGUUUAGCGACUAGCACUGACUCAAGAAUCUCAAAUGCUUUCCAAUUGGGAACCAAGGAUGUUCAGAAGGUGUGUUGGGCCUCACAACUGGGUUCUAUUAAGUGUAUUUAACAGUCUGCGUUUGCUCUAUUUUUCCCCAAAGGUUCCAGUCUUAGGUGUCUUUAUGGGCUGACUUCUUUGCCAAGAACUCCCAUCUUUGUCACCUGCAGUGAAACCUUAAAGGGUAAAGGGCUAGGAUUUUAGCUUCCGUCUUCAACAUCACACUCACCCAUAAGCCUGACACAAUCUUGCACAGGGGAGAUGGAGCUACCAGAACCAGGUGUCCACACAGUGUCCCCUCUGAAGAGGUGCAGAGAUACACCUGCCAGAUGGAAUGAAGGCCAAACACACUUCCUGUGACCCCUCAUGAGGAGCAAAGGAAACAACCUGGUAUGAGGGUUCAGAUCUUGGGAGGGUUAAGCCCAAUAAGGGUUGAUGCCAAUAAGGAUUAAGAACGCAAGUUCCCAGGGCACCUGGGCAGUUCAGUCUGUUAACUGUCUGGCUCUUAAUCUCAGUUCAGGUCUUGAUCUCAGGGUCCUGAGUUCAAGCCCAAUGUUUCAAAAAAUGCAAAUUUUCAUGAAAUGUAUCCAAUGCAUUGAGCAGAAGAUGGAAUAAUUGCUACUACUAAGAUGAUUGUCACACAUCCUGGAUUUGUUAUUGUACUAAGUGUACUUUGGAAGAAAAACAUCAUAUUGAGGUGUUUGCUCAGGUGAGGAACAGAAUUUGAUGAGGGAGAGAAGAAAAGGCUCUAAGCCUCACCCAUUUAGGGAGCAAGGGGCUCUAUCAUCAAUCAACACAGCCCUACAGCAGAUGGGCUUUCUUCCCGCUUACAGAUAGGUGCUGGAGUGGGAGGUGGACAAAUAAGGAGCCACCCUGUGUCUUCCUCCUGUGGUCCCCCUUGCAGCCACAGAGAGCUUGGUGGUCUGAUUUUUUACUUACCUUUGCUUCUUCCUCUUUGUGGUACAACAGACCAUGAGAUGAGAAGUGUGUGGCUACAAGGGCUGCCUGGGUGGCUUAGUCGGUUAAGCCUCUGUCUUCGGCUCAGGUUAUGAUCCCAGAAUCUUGGGACUGAGUCCCUGUGCUGGAUUUCCUGCUCAGCAGAGAGCCUGCUUCUUCCUCUCCCACUCCCCCUGCUCUCUGGUCUUCUCACACUCUCUCUGUGAAAUAAAAUCUUUGGGGAAAAGAAAAGUAUCAGACUAAACACCUCUAAAUCUGGAGAAAUAACUGGGAACCAAGGCCACACCCUGAGAAAUAACCAAAUGGAUAUAGACAGGAGCUCUGUUGGUGAUUCUAGGCAAUGUCACAGCCAGCCUGACAGGGCAGAAGGAGGGCAGGGCCAGGGCACCAGUCAGUGGCUGAGCUCCAACUGGGUUAUGCAUAAACUGGAAAUGCCAAGAGCCAGCUCCUACUUGUGUCCUCUCCUCCAUGGGCCUGACAAACAUGGACAGUGGUAUGAGGCCUUGGCCUUUUUCACCCUACAAAGAGCGAGAAAACCCAAGAGACAAAGAUUCCCAAAGGACUGACAGCUGAUGAUGCCACCAAGAUGAAGAAGGAGAGGCCCAUUAUAGGGAAACACCAGAACAAAGACUGGAGCUAUCUCAAAGAAGGAAGAUGCUCUCCUAAUAAUAAGAGAACGAUGUUAAAUAUUUAUUCAAUUUUUGUGUGUUGUCUUCUGUUUAGUCUCCCUGAUAAAGAAGGUCCAGAAGGGCAGAGCUUUUUAGUUUUUAAUAAAUUUUCUUUUUACAGCAAUUUUAGGUUCAGAGCAAGAUUGAGAGAAAGGUACACAUUUGUCCCACAUCCCCCUUGUCUGCACACAUGAUUAACCUCCAGCAUUAUCUACAUUCUCCACUAAAGUGGUACUUUUGUUUCAAUUUAUGAACCUAUAUUGACACAUCACAAUCAGCUGAAGUCCAAAGUUUAUGUUCGGGUUCAAUCCCCGUGUACAAUCUAUGGGUUUGACAAAGGUACAAUGACACACAUCUAUUAUUACUGUAUUCUACAGAGAAGUUUCAGUGUUCUGCCUAAACCUCCUUCCAUCCGCUUUGACCCUGGCAACCACUGAUCUUUUCCUAGUCAUCCUACUUUUGCCUUUUCAUAUGUUCAAAGACUAUACAGCUGGAGUCACCGAAUGUCAUAUAGUUGGAAUCAUACAAUAUGCAGCCUUUUCAGAUUGACUUCUUUCACUUAGUAAUAUGCAUUUAACAUUUUUCCAUGCCUUUUCAUGGCAUGAUAGCUCAUUUCUUUUUAUCACUGAAUAAUACACUCCUUUUUCUGGAUAUAUCCUAGUGUUUUUUUUUGUUUGUUUUUUGUUUUUUGGUUUUUUUUUUUUAACCUCUUCACAUCCUUCAGGACAUCUUGGUUGCUUCUAAGUUAUGGCAACUAUGGAUAAAAUUCCUAUAAAUGUCUGUUUACAGGUUUUUAUGUAAAGAAGAUAUUUUCAACUCUAGGUAACAGCAAGCAGCAUGACUUACCAGAUGAUAAGAGUAUGUUUAGUUUUCUAAGAAAAUAGCAAACUUUCCUCCAAAGUGGUGGUACCAUUUUUCAAACCCAUCAGCAAUGAAUAAGAAUGUUACUCCAUAUCCUUCAGUGUCAGCGCUUAGAACUUUGACCAUUCUAAUAGGUGUGUAGGGGUAUCUUAUGGUUGUUUUGAAUUUUCCAGAUAAUAUAAGAUGCAAAGCAUCUUCCUAUGUGCUUAUUUGCCAUCUGUAUUUUUGCUGAGGUGUCUGUUAAGAUUUUUUGCCAUUUUAAAUUGAGUUUUUUACUGAAUUUUAAGGGUUUCUUUUUUCUUUCUUUUUUUUUUUUUUUUUAAAGAUUUUGUUUAUUUAUUUAUGAGAGAGAGAGAGACAGAGAAUAGGCAAAGGGUUCCUGGGAUCACACCCUGAGCUGAAGGCAGAUGCUCAACCACUGAGCCAUCCAGGCGUCCCGAAUUUUAAGGGUUCUUUAUAUUUUUUAUAUAACGGUCCUUUAACAGAUGUCUUCUGCAAAUAUUUUCUCCAAGUCUGUGGCUUGUCUUUUAAUUCUUUUCAUUGUUUUAGCAGAAUAAAAAGUUUUAAUGAAGUUCAGAAAAUUAUUUCUUUUGUGAAUUGUUUCUAUUGUUUUAUUUAAAAGAUCACUGCCAAACCCAAUGUUAUAGAAGUUUUCUAUUUUCUAUAAGAUUUAUAGAUUUGCAUUUUAUAUUUAGAUCUGUGAUCUAUUUUGAGUUAAUUUUUGUGAAAAGUGUAAAGUCUAGGUUAAUUUCUUGCAUGUAGACAUUUAGUUGUUCCAGCAUUUGUUGAAAAACAAUCUUCUCAAUUGUACUGCCUUUGCUCCUUUGUCAAGUAUCAUCUGACUAUAUUUUUGUGGGUGUUUAUACUACUGUGGGUUUUCUAUACUGCUCCAUUGAUCUCUUUGUUUCUCCAAUACAAUACUGCCUGAUUACCGUAUCUUUUUUUAAAAAAAAAAACUUGUUUAUUUAUUCAUGAGAGAUACAGAAAGAGAGGCAGAGACACAGGCAGAGGGAGAAGCAGGCUCCCCAUGGGAAGCCUGAUGCAGGACUCAAUCUUAUGACCCUGGGAUCACAACCUGAGCAAAAGGCUGAUUGAUGCUCAACCACUGAGCCACCCAGGUGCCACGUGAUUACUGUAUCUUUACAUUUAGUUUCUGAAGUUGGGUAGUGUCAGCUCUCUUUGUUCUCUCUCAAUAUUGUGUUGGCUAUUCAGGGUCUUUGUUCCUCUAAGUAAACUUUAGCAUCAGUUAGUUGAUAGCCACAAAAAAAGAAUUUCUGGAAUUUUUAUUAGAAUUGCAUUAAAUCUAUAGAUCAAUUUGGGGAACAGUGAAAUCUUAACCAUAUUGAGUGUUCCUAUCCAUGAACCUGAAAUUCUUCAUUUAUUUAGUUUAAUAUCUUUAAUCAGAGUUUUGUAGUUGUCUUCAUAUAGUCUUGUAUAUAUCUUGUUAGAUUUAUACCUAAGCAUUUUAUUUUUUGGGUACUAAUGUGAGUGGUAUUGUGUUUAAUUUCAAAUUCCACUAGCUCAUUGCUGUUUUAUAAGAAAGGGAUUUACUUUCGUAUUUUUACCUUAUAUCCUGAAAUCUGGUGCUUUUUGUUUUGGAAAAUUAAUUAUUAAUUCAAUUUCUGUAGUGGCUAUGGCCUAUUUAUAUUGUCUAUUUCUUGUGUAAAUUUUGACAGAUAGUGUCUUUCAAGGAGUUGGUCUAUUUAAUCCAGGCUAUCAAAUUUGUGGGUACAGUAUGCCUUGAUAACCCUUUCAAUGUCUACGGAUUCUAAAGUGACAUCCUCUUGUUAACUUCUGGUGCCAGUAAGUUGUGUGUUCUCCUUUUUCUUAGACCAGCUAGAAGUUUAUCAAUUUUAUUAUCUUUUAAAAAAACAAGCUUUUUUUUUAAAUACUGAAAAAAGUUAACAGUUUAUUAUAAUUUAUUUUAUUUAACAAUCUAGGAAGUUCGCAGCCAUCAGCAGUUCCAGUGCAAUUUCAGGUGCAAUUGGGAAUUCAGGAAUCUCUGUGGAGCUGUUAGUGUAGUGAACCUUGUAGGUAAAAUACAUGCAUACUUUUGAUAGCACAUGUGAAGGGAUCUCUCUAAAAUUGACUUCAUUAGUUUCAUUCUCAGCCAACUGACCUGGGCCACUCAACAUGGCUUUUAUUGUUCCGGAUGUUAGUGCAUGUUCUCUUUUUACAAUAAAUUCAUGACCAUCCGAAGAUAUCAAUUUGACAUACAUGGCAUCAGGGCCUUCACAGCCACCAUAGGUUUUCUCUUCUCCAUCAUGUUCUUAUGAAAUUCUACUUUACUUCGACAGGAACUUUAGUAGUUGUUUCUCGUCAGCCUUGCAGCCACCAUAUCCAUCGUGCCAGCUCCCCACACACCACCAUAGCCCCCACUCCAGGGCCCAAAAACAAGCUUUUUAAUGUCAUUUGUUUUCUCUCUUUUGAUUUCUUGUUUUCAAUGUUAUUUAUAUAUGCUCUAAUUUUCAUUAUUUAUUUUCUUCUGCUUACUUUGAACUUAAUGGGCUCUUUUUCUAGUUUCCUAAGGGGCAGUUUAAAUGAUUGAUACUAGAUCUUUUUCAACAUAUGCAGUUACUGAUAUAAAUUAUCCUCUAAACACUGCUUGCACUAUGUUCCAUUAAUUUUGAUUAGUUUUCAUUUUCAUUUAGCUGAAAAUAUUUCUAAAAUUUUCCUCAAGAUUUCUUUCUUGCCCCAUGUCUCAUUUAGAAGUACACUUUAAUCUCCAAGUGUUUUGGGGGAAUAUCCAACCAUCUUCUGAUUAUUGAUUUCUAGUUUAAUCCAUGUGGUUUGAGGGCAGAUAUUGCACAAUUAAUAUCCUUUUAAAAUUGUGUGUUUUGUGGUUGAAUGUGGACUAUUAAAUAGUUUCAUGUGAAUCUGAGACAAAUGUGUAACAUGCUGCUGUUGGAUGAAUUAGUCUAUUGAAGGUGCUGUUGAUGUCAAGCAAAUCUUCAGUGAUUUUCUCCACAUUGGAUCUGCCCAUUUCUGUGACAAGUGCUGAAGUCCCCAAGUCAAUAGUGAGUAGAUUGAUUUAUUUCUUCUUGCGGUUCUGUCAGUUUUUCCCUCACAUAUUUUGACAUUCUGUAUUUAG
Molecule: long non-coding RNA, 8091 nt
Filed under: Canis lupus familiaris (dog)
Lineage: Eukaryota; Metazoa; Chordata; Mammalia; Carnivora; Canidae
Description: lncRNA (ENSCAFG00845016897.1)
Source: RNAcentral